UAUAUGAAUUGAUGGAGUGUUUCAAUUCAUAGAUGAAGCUUCAAUGGGUGAGGAGGGAUUUCGAGUCACUUGCGGAAAAUGUGCGUUACUACAAGAGCAGAGCCACUUGCACGACUCUGGCCUACCUGUCUUGGCUGCGCUUCUUCUACUUCGCUGUCUCCCCUGCUUCCUCCACCCUCCACUGCUUUCAUUGGCCCAUGGUUUUGGAUCUGAGUCUUUCCUCUUCAUUCCUUUACUUCCUCAUCUUACUUCCGGCUUUCAUCAAGUUGUACCGGAUUCACAACCUGCUCCACACAAUUUGCAACCAACAUACUCAUAUCUGUCAACGGAUCUGGGAGGCCAUGAACCAAAAUGGUCAGGCUGGAGCUUUGAAUGAUGGGGUCGGGUUCGAUUUCGGGGUCCAGGUCAGGGCGCUUACCGAUGAUUCAUUCAGUGGUGGGGAGAUCAAAGUGUACGGAUGCGCCAUCGCCUUUGCUCUGUUCGCUGUUACUGCCUUUGAACUCUACCCCUGACAAAGGCACUUUGUCAAUUAUGAAAUAAAGUUCAGAACCCACAUGAUAAAGGAGGUUUAGAGGAUGCUAAGGAGGUCAUGCCAUAAUUGUUGAUCGCUGCAAGUUCAAGUUGGAUAGCCUGCAGGGAUGGAGCUUGAAGAGGUGAGGAGGGAUUUGGAGUAUCUAGCUGAAAAGCAACAACAAAGGGUGCGUUACUACGAGAGUAGAGCCAUUUACACAACUCUAGGCUACCUGGCCUGGCUGCGCUUCUUCUACUUUGCUGUCUCCUCUAAUUCCUCCACCCUCCACUGUGUUCAUUGGCCCAUGGUUUUCGGUUUGAGUCUUUCCUGUUCAUCCCUCUAUUUGUUGAUUUUACUGCCGCCUUUCAUCAAAUUGUACCGGACUCACAACCUGCUCCACACAAUUUGCAACCAACAUACUCAUCUCUGUCAACGGAUUUUGGAGGCCACGAACCAAGAUGGUGAGGCUGGAGCUUCCACCCAUGGGGUCGAGUUCAAUGUCAGGUUCCACCAGGUGAGGGCGCUUCACAAUGAUUCAUUCAGUGGUGGGGAGAUCAAAGUCUACACAUGCGCCAUCGCCUUUGCUCUGCUUGCUGUUACCGCUUUUGAACUCGGCGCCUGAGCUCUUUCCCUUUUAUGAUGGCA
Cucurbita moschata (crookneck pumpkin) is the source of this 1156-nucleotide RNA transcript. RefSeq lists it as uncharacterized. The record is from RefSeq and is a predicted model, not a curated record. The transcript has 4 exons. NCBI's taxonomy places the organism in Eukaryota, Viridiplantae, Streptophyta, Magnoliopsida, Cucurbitales, Cucurbitaceae.